This 641-nucleotide long non-coding RNA is filed under the name Fukomys damarensis (Damara mole-rat). RNAcentral describes it as "lncRNA (ENSFDAG00000032293.1)". The record is from RNAcentral. Lineage: Eukaryota; Metazoa; Chordata; Mammalia; Rodentia; Bathyergidae.
AAAUGGUGAAGCAACGAGUGUCAGCAAUUCAGCUUCUCCAAGACAGAGUCCAGAGUCUGGAAAACAAUAGCAUGUAGGGAGGAAAACUGAAGUGUGAGAAGGAUUCAUGAGAACCAUGAGGGAUCUGACAGAGGAGAAGAAAAUAGGAUUAAGUAAUACAGGCGAGGUUGACCACACCACAGAAGAGACACCGAGGCAACACAGACAGCGGCUGGCUAGCCGCAGCUGGGAGACAAAGUAACACUAACAACUUCUUUCCUCACAGAGAAUAAGAGAGCUGCACUGGGACCAGAAGAAUCCUACGCAGUUGGAGAUAGAAGGAAAAACACGGGACAUUGCCUCCUGAGCGGCCCUCCAGGAUCAGUAGUUGUUUCAGGAAAUAAAAAUCUGGCCCAGCUCAACACAAACAACUCUGCGCUGUCAUCAAAUUUAGAUCAUUCUCCUACCCCAGCUCAGACAGCAGGUAUUCGGAAGCUUAAGAGAUGUGCUAGCUUCUUUCCGCUUCCUUGGUGCAUUCCCUUCUUUUGCUAGGUGUGUUUUCUGCUGGUGGGAGAGGAGAAGGGGCAUAAAAAGUGGAUUAAGGAAAGGAGAACAGUUUUCAAGGCUCACAGGCUUACAAUGAAGCUGUGGUUUGCAAGCAC